UGCGUAGGCGGUUUGGCAAGUCUUGUGUGAAAUCUUCGGGCUCAACCCGAAGCCUGCAUAAGAAACUGCCGGGCUUGAGUAUGGGAGAGGUGAGUGGAAUUUCCGGUGUAGCGGUGAAAUGCGUAGAUAUCGGAAGGAACACCUGUGGCGAAAGCGGCUCACUGGACCAUAACUGACGCUGAGGCACGAAAGCUAGGGGAGCAAACAGGAUUAGAUACCCUGGUAGUCCUAGCCCUAAACGAUGAUUGCUUGAUGUGGCAGGUACCCAAUCCUGCCGUGUCGAAGCUAACGCGAUAAGCAAUCCGCCUGGGGAGUACGGUCGCAAGGCUGAA
This 332-nucleotide ribosomal RNA is filed under the name uncultured Acidobacteriaceae bacterium. RNAcentral describes it as "bacterial SSU rRNA". It matches the Rfam family "Bacterial small subunit ribosomal RNA", at positions 568 to 898 of the family's 1533-position model. Lineage: Bacteria; Pseudomonadati; Acidobacteriota; Terriglobia; Terriglobales; Acidobacteriaceae. The record is from RNAcentral.